GACGAACGCUGGCGGCGUGCUUAACACAUGCAAGUCGAGCGGUAAGGCCCUUUCGGGGGUACACGAGCGGCGAACGGGUGAGUAACACGUGGGUGACCUGCCCUCAGCUCUGGGAUAAGCCUGGGAAACCGGGUCUAAUACCGGAUAUGACUCCAUGACGCAUGUUGUGGGGUGGAAAGCCUUGUGCGGCUGAGGAUGGGCCCGNGGCCUAUCAGCUUGUUGGUGGGGUNAUGGCCUACCAAGGCGACGACGGGUAGCCGGCCUGAGAGGGCGACCGGCCACACUGGGACUGAGACACGGCCCA
Molecule: ribosomal RNA, 304 nt
Filed under: uncultured bacterium
Lineage: Bacteria
Description: bacterial SSU rRNA
Rfam family: Bacterial small subunit ribosomal RNA
Source: RNAcentral